This 559-nucleotide ribosomal RNA is filed under the name uncultured bacterium. RNAcentral describes it as "bacterial SSU rRNA". It matches the Rfam family "Bacterial small subunit ribosomal RNA", at positions 338 to 916 of the family's 1533-position model. The record is from RNAcentral.
CCUACGGGAGGCAGCAGUGGGGAAUCUUGCGCAAUGGGCGAAAGCCUGACGCAGCCAUGCCGCGUGAAUGAUGAAGGUCUUAGGAUUGUAAAAUUCUUUCACCGGGGACGAUAAUGACGGUACCCGGAGAAGAAGCCCCGGCUAACUUCGUGCCAGCAGCCGCGGUAAUACGAAGGGGGCUAGCGUUGCUCGGAAUUACUGGGCGUAAAGGGAGCGUAGGCGGAUAGUUUAGUCAGAGGUGAAAGCCCAGGGCUCAACCUUGGAAUUGCCUUUGAUACUGGCUAUCUUGAGUACGGAAGAGGUAUGUGGAACUCCGAGUGUAGAGGUGAAAUUCGUAGAUAUUCGGAAGAACACCAGUGGCGAAGGCGACAUACUGGUCCGUUACUGACGCUGAGGCUCGAAAGCGUGGGGAGCAAACAGGAUUAGAUACCCUGGUAGUCCACGCUGUAAACGAUGAGUGCUAGUUGUCGGCAUGCAUGCAUGUCGGUGACGCAGCUAACGCAUUAAGCACUCCGCCUGGGGAGUACGGUCGCAAGAUUAAAACUUAAGGAAUUGACGG